This is a long non-coding RNA of Pezoporus occidentalis (night parrot), 594 nucleotides long. RefSeq lists it as uncharacterized. The transcript is spliced from 3 exons. The record is from RefSeq and is a predicted model, not a curated record. NCBI's taxonomy places the organism in Eukaryota, Metazoa, Chordata, Aves, Psittaciformes, Psittacidae.
GCUCCUCCUUCUGCCCCGCCACCCCGCUCCGGUACCGGCACCGCCUGCACCCCCGGGGGCCCUACAGCCGCGGGAGGCUCGGCCCGGGUCGGUGCGGGGUCCCGGCCACCGCCAGCACCCAGCCCUGCUCCUGUAUAAAGCGCUGCGUUACUGUUUUAGCUGUCGGCCAUUAAACGAGCGUAACUGUCGGAGCACGACAGGGCUCGUCCGUGGUGAAGGCGUCGUCGAGGGCACCUCCGCUGCCAAAGGACGGGGAGGCGCAUCCCGUUGAUGCCAGUGGCCUCGCGCAGCGCCGACACCAGUUCCGCAGCCGCUGACGUGAGACCAUUUGUAUAAGGUGGACCCAUUGAACCAGACGGGGAAAAGAGAGAAGGAAAAAGUAGUUUUUCCUUCUGUCAGCGACCAGGCAACUCCGUGUGCAGGCCAAGAAACAAAGGACUGCACGCUCAAACGCCACCCUUGGAAUUCACAGUUCAUACCAUUCAACCAGGGGACCAGAUACUGAUCAAGUCAUGGAAGGACUUUAAAUUACAGCCUAUGUUGGACGGCCCAUUUCAUGUACUGUUGACCACUGAAACUGCUGUGAGGACUGCC